CCUACGGGAGGCAGCAGUGGGGAAUAUUGCACAAUGGGGGAAACCCUGAUGCAGCGCCGCCGCGUGAGUGAAGAAGUAAUUCGUUAUGUAAAGCUCUAUCAGCAGGGAAGAAAAUGACGGUAACUGAGUAAGAAGCCACGGCUAACUACGUGCCAGCAGCCGCGGUAAUACGUAGGGGGAAAGCGUUAUCCGGAUUUACUGGGUUGAAAGGGAGCGUAGACGGCAGUGCAAGUCUGGAGUGAAAGGCGGGGGCUCAACCCCCGGACUGCACUGGAAACUGUACGGCUGGAGUGCAGGAGAGGUAAGUGGAAUUCCUAGUGUAGCGGUGAAAUGCGUAGAGAUUAGGAGGAACACCAGUGGCGAAGGCGGCUUACUGGACUGUAACUGACGUUGAGGCUCGAAAGCGUGGGGAGCAAACAGGAUUAGAUACCCUUGUAGUC
Molecule: ribosomal RNA, 440 nt
Filed under: uncultured bacterium
Lineage: Bacteria
Description: partial 16S ribosomal RNA
Rfam family: Bacterial small subunit ribosomal RNA
Source: RNAcentral